UACGUAGGGUGCAAGCGUUGUCCGGAAUUAUUGGGCGUAAAGAGCUCGUAGGCGGUUUGUCGCGUCUGCUGUGAAAACUCAGGGCUUAACCCUGAGCCUGCAGUGGGUACGGGCAGACUAGAGUGUGGUAGGGGAGAUCGGAAUUCCUGGUGUAGCGGUGGAAUGCGCAGAUAUCAGGAGGAACACCGAUGGCGAAGGCAGGUCUCUGGGGCCAUUAACUGACGUGAGGAGCGAAAGCA
Molecule: ribosomal RNA, 239 nt
Filed under: uncultured bacterium
Lineage: Bacteria
Description: partial 16S ribosomal RNA
Rfam family: Bacterial small subunit ribosomal RNA
Source: RNAcentral